RNAcentral lists this ribosomal RNA (506 nucleotides) under uncultured bacterium. RNAcentral's name for it is "partial 16S ribosomal RNA". It matches the Rfam family "Bacterial small subunit ribosomal RNA", at positions 29 to 523 of the family's 1533-position model. The record is from RNAcentral.
AGUGAACGCUGGCGGUAGGCCUAACACAUGCAAGUCGAACGGCAGCACAGGAGAGCUUGCUCUCUGGGUGGCGAGUGGCGGACGGGUGAGGAAUACAUCGGAAUCUACUCUGUCGUGGGGGAUAACGUAGGGAAACUUACGCUAAUACCGCAUACGACCUACGGGUGAAAGCAGGGGACCUUCGGGCCUUGCGCGAUUGAAUGGGCCGAUGUCGGAUUAGCUAGUUGGCGGGGUAAAGGCCCACCAAGGCGACGAGCCGUAGCUGGUCUGAGAGGAUGAUCAGCCACACUGGAACUGAGACACGGUCCAGACUCCUACGGGAGGCAGCAGGGGGGAAUAUUGGGCAAUGGGCGCAAGCCUGAUCCAGCCAUACCGCGUGGGUGAAGAAGGCCUUCGGGUUGUAAAGCCCUUUUGUUGGGAAAGAAAUCCAGCUGGCUAAUAUCCGGUUGGGAUGACGGUACCCAAAGAAUAAGCACCGGCUAACUUCGUGCCAGCAGCCGCCGUAA